GACGAACGCUGGCGGCGUGCUUAACACAUGCAAGUCGAACGGAAAGGCCCUGCUUUUGUGGGGUGCUCGAGUGGCGAACGGGUGAGUAACACGUGAGUAACCUGCCCUUGACUUUGGGAUAACUUCAGGAAACUGGGGCUAAUACCGGAUAGGAGCUCCUGCUGCAUGGUGGGGGUUGGAAAGUUUCGGCGGUUGGGGAUGGACUCGCGGCUUAUCAGCUUGUUGGUGGGGUAGUGGCUUACCAAGGCUUUGACGGGUAGCCGGCCUGAGAGGGUGACCGGCAAAAUUGGGACUGAGAUACGGCCCAGACUCCUACGGGAGGCAGCAGUGGGGAAUAUUGAACAAUGGGCGGAAGCCUGAUGCAGCAACGCCGCGUGCGGGAUGACGGCCUUCGGGUUGUAAACCGCUUUCGCCUGUGACGAAGCGUGAGUGACGGUAAUGGGUAAAGAAGCACCGGCUAACUACGUG
This 468-nucleotide ribosomal RNA is filed under the name uncultured bacterium. RNAcentral's name for it is "partial 16S ribosomal RNA". It matches the Rfam family "Bacterial small subunit ribosomal RNA", at positions 28 to 507 of the family's 1533-position model. The record is from RNAcentral.